GAUCCCCAUGGAUCCCCACCAUCCACCCCAGUCACUCCCAGUGGAUCCCAGCGAUCCCCACCAUCCAUCCCAGUGAUCCCCAUGGAUCCCCACCAUCCACCACAGUCACUCCCAGUGGAUCCCAGCGAUCCCCAUAGAUCCCCACCAUCCAUCCCAGUCAAUCCCAGUGGAUCCCAUCCAUCCAUCCCAGUCAACCUCAUCAAUCCCAAUGGAUCCCCACCAUCCAUCCCAAUCAAUCCCAGUGGAUCCCGGGUGCCGCUGGGGGUGGCAGAAGGUCGGAUUUAGCUCUGUCCAUAAAGCUUAUUUCAGGGUGGGGAAUGCAAAUCCUCGGGGGAUGCAUUCCCUGCCAUCCAGUCCGACAUAGGAACGGUUCCUUUAACGGUACAGCUGAAUUACUGGAGCGGUUUCAGGUCUUUUCGUGCAGGCAAACGAGUUUCCCAAAGUCUACUUGAAGAAUAGGAAUGAGAACAAAUCCCUUUUCCAGGCCCACACUACAUUUCAUCUCAGCCCCGCUGCCUCCCCGCGCUGACAGCGGGGCCGGGGCGCGGGGACAAAAUAAGCUCCUGUUUAUGGGGGAAACGCCGCGGCUGAGCCCCGCUCCCGACCCGGCUCCGCGGGGCAGGGGCGUCCCUUCAGUCGGUUUUUAAAUCCAAGGCUGCGAGGUCGUUCUGUACAGGAUGACUUUGUAAAGAGUUUGAUUAAUAAAAGCUCAAAAAUAAGGAA
Long non-coding RNA from Chloebia gouldiae (Gouldian finch), 723 nucleotides. Lineage: Eukaryota; Metazoa; Chordata; Aves; Passeriformes; Passeridae. The record is from Ensembl.